UCAAAUGAAUUGACGGGGAGCACCACAACGGGUGGAGCUUGCGGUUUAAUUGGAUUCAACGCCGGAAAUCUUACCGGGACCGACAGCAAUAUGAAGGCCAGGCUGAAGACUUUGCCGGAUUAGCUGAGAGGUGGUGCAUGGCCGUCGUCAGUUCGUACUGUGAAGCAUCCUGUUAAGUCAGGCAACGAGCGAGACCCACGCCCACAGUUGCCAGCGUACUCUCUGGAGUGACGGGUACACUGUGGGACCGCCGCUGCUAAAGCGGAGGAAGGAAUGGGCAACGGUAGGUCAGUAUGCCCCGAAUAUCCCGGGCUACACGCGAGCUACAAUGGUUGGUACAAUGGGUAUCUACCCCGAAAGGGGACGGGAAUCUCCUAAAACCAAUCUUAGUUCGGAUUGAGGGCUGCAACUCGCCCUCAUGAAGCUGGAAUCCGUAGUAAUCGCGUUUCAACAGAACGCGGUGAAUACGUCCCUGCUCCUU
RNAcentral lists this ribosomal RNA (481 nucleotides) under uncultured Methanosaeta sp. RNAcentral's name for it is "bacterial SSU rRNA". It matches the Rfam family "Archaeal small subunit ribosomal RNA", at positions 856 to 1338 of the family's 1478-position model. The record is from RNAcentral. Lineage: Archaea; Methanobacteriati; Methanobacteriota; Methanomicrobia; Methanotrichales; Methanotrichaceae.